Molecule: ribosomal RNA, 1916 nt
Filed under: Triticum aestivum (bread wheat)
Lineage: Eukaryota; Viridiplantae; Streptophyta; Magnoliopsida; Poales; Poaceae
Description: partial small subunit ribosomal RNA
Source: RNAcentral
ACGGCAUGAUCGCAAGCCGCUGCCGGGGUAUAUACAGGUCUUGAAGUGGUAGGAGACGGCGGCGGCGUACGAGAUGAAGGACUUGGUGGGGCUGGGGCACUUGUUCGUGGUGGCAUUCCUCUUCCACUUCUCCUCCUUCAUGGUGCUCCCGGCGAUCACCGACGUGACCAUGGAGGCCGUCUGCCCCGGCCGCGACGAGUGCUCCGUCGCCAUCUAUCUCAGCGGCUUCCAGAACGCCAUCACAGGGCUGGGGGCUCUGGUAGUGACUCCUAUCGUCGGGAAUUUGUCGGACAAGUACGGCCGGAAGGCGCUGAUGACGCUGCCGGUGACCGUCGCCAUUUUGCCUCUCUUUAUAUUGGCGUGCAACCGAUCGGAGGUGUACUUCUACGCGUACUACGUGAUGAAGAUCCUCGCCGGGAUCUUCUGCGAGGGCAGCAUCCACUGUCUCUUGCUUGCUUACGUGGCGGACCACGUAGGGACCAAACGGCGGGCGGCGGCGUUCGGGCUCCUCUCAGGCGUGUCGGCGGCCGGCUUCCUCUCGGGGACCCUCACCGCGCGGUUCCUCGCCACCUCCUCCACCUUUCAGGUCGCCGCGGCCGUCGGUGCAGCGGGAGCCAUCUACCUCAGGGCAUUCGUCCCGGAUUCCGGCGCUGCUGUCUCCUUCCAUGACGAUGCCUGCGAUCCCCUGCUCCAAGACUCGUCCUGCUCCUCUGCAGCUUCGUCUUCCGCUUCCUCUGACGAAGAGCUGUCGCCGAGGCUUCCGCCCUACAAGGGCGUGCUGCCGUCGCCGUCCGACAUGGUCGCACUUCUCACUGGCAGUUUGACCUUGUCAACGGCGGCAAUGAUCACUUUCUUUUACAGUCUCGGUGAACACGGACUUCAGACUGCAUUACUGUACUACCUGAAAGCACAGUUUGGUUACAGCAAAGACGAGUUUGCUAAUCUAAUGCUGAUUGCCGGUGCUGCGGGAAUGAUCUCACAGUUAACAGUAAUGCCAAUAUUUGCUCCAAUCGUGGGUGAGGAGAUGCUACUUAUUGUUGGGCUGUUAGGAGGAUGCACUCAUGUUUUCCUAUAUGGCAUCGCAUGGUCGUACUGGGUGCCAUAUUUUGCUGCAGCAUUUAUAAUUUUGAGUGCUUUUGUUCACCCAUCUAUAAGGACCAAUGUGUCAAAAAGUGUUGGAUCAAAUGAGCAGGGAAUUGCUCAAGGGUGUAUAUCGGGAAUUAGUUCUUUUGCCAGCAUAUUAGCUCCACUCAUCUUCACUCCCUUGACAGCAUGGUUCCUUUCAGAAACAACGCCGUUCAACUUCAAAGGCUUCAGCAUUAUGGUUGCUGGUUUUUGCACGCUCACUGCCUUUGUCAUCAGCAUUAGGAUGCGCGCGGCGAGAUGUGGAGUUAGCGAGAAAGUGAGCCUUGUGCAGCAUGAGCAAGCAUGACACACACAACACCCUGGUUAAGAGUGGCUUGCUCCAUGCUUCCAGGAGAAUGAAUGACCCUCGGCAUGCAAAAGCACCUUUCUCUAUUACAUGAACGCUGCAGAUGUCGAAUUGGGUAGUGUCAUGCAAGUUUAGCCUGGUGUAAACCUCCUACUGUCUUACCAGUACAUAGCUGACCGGAAUAGUUAACUGUAUGUAGCUUGCUUCAGAAAGGGGGUCAGUGGGUAAGCACUUAGCAUUCAGAGUUGGCGCAGUUCUGUUUCUGAAUGCAGAAUGUAUGGUGGAUGAAUUACAAAGUACUAGUACAUCGGUUCCAAAAUAUAAGAUGUUUUGGCAGUUAAUUUAAACUGCCAAAACGUUCAUAUUUAGGAACAGAGGUGGCAAUAUGUAAAUACAGCGACUUCUGGUGAUAAAUUCGACUCGUCUGAGUACACAGGAAGCACUGGAUAGAGGAAGUGUAGCUUGUUAUGAAAUGAGCUUAUAC